Molecule: ribosomal RNA, 630 nt
Filed under: Lactiplantibacillus plantarum
Lineage: Bacteria; Bacillati; Bacillota; Bacilli; Lactobacillales; Lactobacillaceae
Description: bacterial SSU rRNA
Rfam family: Bacterial small subunit ribosomal RNA
Source: RNAcentral
AUCGCUACGUAAUCGCGGAUCUGCAUGCCGCGGUGAAUACGUUCCACAUUGGGCCUUGUAGACACGGCCCAGACUCACUACGGGAUGCAGCAGUUUGUAAUCUUCCACAAGUCGGUGGGGUAACGUUUUAUGGAGCCACGCCGCGUGAGGUGGGACAGAUGAUUAGGGUUUCGAAGCUCGUAAAACUCUGUUGUUAAAGAAGAACAUAUCUGAGAGUAACUGUUCAGGUAUUGACGGUAUUUAACCAGAAAGCCACGGCUAACUACGUGCCAGCAGCCGCGGUAAUACGUAGGUGGCAAGCGUUGUCCGGAUUUAUUGGGCGUAAAGCGAGCGCAGGCGGUUUUUUAAGUCUGAUGUGAAAACCUUCGGCUCAACCGAAGAAGUGCAUCGGAAACUGGGAAACUUGAGUGCAGAAGAGGACAGUGGAACUCCAUGUGUAGCGGUGAAAUGCGUAGAUAUAUGGAAGAACACCAGUGGCGAAGGCGGCUGUCUGGUCUGUAACUGACGCUGAGGCUCGAAAGUAUGGGUAGCAAACAGGAUUAGAUACCCUGGUAGUCCAUACCGUAAACGAUGAAUGCUAAGUGUUGGAGGGUUUCCCUCACCUUUCAGUGCUGCAAGCUAACGGCACUU